This 279-nucleotide ribosomal RNA is filed under the name uncultured bacterium. Its description in RNAcentral is "partial 16S ribosomal RNA". It matches the Rfam family "Bacterial small subunit ribosomal RNA", at positions 506 to 784 of the family's 1533-position model. The record is from RNAcentral.
UGCCAGCAGCCGCGGUAAUACGGAGGGUGCAAGCGUUACUCGGAAUCACUGGGCGUAAAGAGCGUGUAGGCGGGUUAAUAAGUCAGAUGUGAAAGCCAAUAGCUCAACUAUUGAACUGCAUUUGAAACUAUAAACCUAGAAUAUGGGAGAGGUAGAUGGAAUUUCUGGUGUAGGGGUAAAAUCCGUAGAGAUCAGAAGGAAUACCGAUUGCGAAGGCGAUCUACUGGAACAUUAUUGACGCUAAGACGGGAAGGCGUGGGCGUAUUACAGGGUCUGCUA